AUGCACCCUGCCAUCGUGUUAUCUCACUGUGCUCUGCAGUGGAAGUUUCCAGAAAGCACUGAGCAAGGCAGGGCUGUGCUGCUAGGCCUAGGUGAAAUGGCGGCGUUUCCACAACCUGCACAGGCUGUGAGGAGCACUUCAGUCUGUGACACCACAGGAAAGCUCACUGUGAAGGAGAAUACCACCUUGCCUUGCUGCUUUGUCACUGCUAAUGCGAUUGUCUCCACUACCUUUUUUGCUUUUGGCUGGACUCCAGGUGUGGAUGACAAUUUCAAGGUAUCCUUCUUCUGUCCUGCUGAUGUGGCAGUAAAACAGCUAAACCUGCUUGGCUGCGUGCAUCGCCUCCUGCAGCAGGAAAGCAGCGUUGUACAGAACUCCUGCCACUGACAGGCAUGCCACAGCCUGUCCAGCCAGGUAUCCAAGGAGUAAUACAGCUUGAUAAUGUGUUAUUUUUGUGCACUCCAUAAUAUCAUUGGUGAGUAUGGUACACAAAUUAGUAGUUGGGGAUUUUAUAUGUUAAAGUCUCUAGACAGUGAAGGGGUCUCAGAACUAGUUAGGUUUUAUUUUACUAAAUGGAGUAAUUCUGGGAUAGGAAAAGUAUUGCAGCCUUUGUGCUAAUGGCACGCAGGCCCCACUGCUGCUGCUGGGUUAAACCUUUGUUUCUGUUCUCCGUUCCAUGGGCUGGAAAUGCAAUUUACGUGGGUAUAAGAAUGCAUUUGACUAAUCAAGGCAGAAGUAACAUUGUCAAAAUCAAUACAUUUAUUUCUUCUCAUGUAUUGAGUAACAAGGGAAUGGACUUUAAUUAGAUAUCUUUGACAAAAGGCCAGACUGGUAAAGAAAAUAUUUUUAGGUGAUUAAGAAUCACAUUUGCUACUUACAGUUGAUGCUGCUUUAUUAUCUGUUUGUUCUUCUGUGGGGUUUUUCAAGUUUUCUUAUUCUGGUACUAGAUGGUUAAAUUUUAACAAUUUUUGAUGUCUGCAAAGACAUACCUGUAACUUCUUUGCAAAUUCCUCCUUUAAGUUUCUGCUUCUAGCUUUUUUUUUUUGUUGUUGUUGAAAUGACACAUUAACUUCUAUCAGUUUAAAAAACAAACAAACAAACAAACCCUCCAAACCAUAUACUUUAUCUCCUCAGCCAUUUAUAUUUUUUCCUCUGCUUUAAUCUAUAGUAUCAGUAGUAAGUAUUAUAUAGUGGAGCUUCUUGGAGUUACAGAUGUCUUCAGUGACUUUGGAAACACAAGGGAUCAUUAUUUUUCAUGAUAACCAACUUGCGAUAACUGUAUACAUGCAGGUUUUAAAGGUUGCAAGAGGGUGAUAAGAGCCAGUGUUCUAAAGGUAAUUAUGUAUCUGUACUGACAUAGUGAAUUGUUAAGUGUAUUUUAUUCAGAAAUGUGCUGGACUUACUGUUUUUCUUGGUUAUGGAAUCUAACUUUCUGAAGCAUAUCAAAUUUAGGAAUAAUCUCAUAGUGUAAGCAAAAAUUACAAACUAGUUAGAGCAUGUGGAUAUUGUCUGCAUCAAAUUGAUCUAAAGCUUUAAUAAAAUAAUUGUAGGAUGCCCA
Long non-coding RNA from Anser cygnoides (Swan goose), 1558 nucleotides. NCBI's taxonomy places the organism in Eukaryota, Metazoa, Chordata, Aves, Anseriformes, Anatidae. The record is from Ensembl.